ACUCAUGUCAGAGGGGAGUAACUUGAUAGUCACUGAAUUAAUUUAAGUGAUUUUACACUUUAUCGUCAUUACGAAGUAUUCACUUCCGGUAAAGUGGGCAAUAGUAUUUGCU
This 112-nucleotide small RNA is filed under the name Streptomyces sp. RNAcentral describes it as "Manganese sequence". It matches the Rfam family "Manganese Mn2+ riboswitch aptamer (yybP-ykoY)". Rfam says of the family: This RNA was originally discovered in E. coli during a large scale screen and was named SraF. The family was later found to exist upstream of related families of protein genes in many bacteria, including the the yybP and ykoK genes in B. subtilis. The record is from RNAcentral. Lineage: Bacteria; Bacillati; Actinomycetota; Actinomycetes; Kitasatosporales; Streptomycetaceae.